RNAcentral lists this ribosomal RNA (2126 nucleotides) under human gut metagenome. Its description in RNAcentral is "bacterial LSU rRNA". It matches the Rfam family "Bacterial large subunit ribosomal RNA", at positions 707 to 2812 of the family's 2925-position model. The record is from RNAcentral.
GUAUAGACCCGAAACCCGGUGAUCUAGCCAUGGGCAGGUUGAAGGUUGGGUAACACUAACUGGAGGACCGAACCGACUAAUGUUGAAAAAUUAGCGGAUGACUUGUGGCUGGGGGUGAAAGGCCAAUCAAACCGGGAGAUAGCUGGUUCUCCCCGAAAGCUAUUUAGGUAGCGCCUCGUGAACUCAUCUUCGGGGGUAGAGCACUGUUUCGGCUAGGGGGUCAUCCCGACUUACCAACCCGAUGCAAACUACGAAUACCGAAGAAUGUUAUCACGGGAGACACACGGCGGGUGCUAACGUCCGUCGUGAAGAGGGAAACAACCCAGACCGCCAGCUAAGGUCCCAAAGUCAUGGUUAAGUGGGAAACGAUGUGGGAAGGCCCAGACAGCCAGGAUGUUGGCUUAGAAGCAGCCAUCAUUUAAAGAAAGCGUAAUAGCUCACUGGUCGAGUCGGCCUGCGCGGAAGAUGUAACGGGGCUAAACCAUGCACCGAAGCUGCGGCAGCGACACUAUGUGUUGUUGGGUAGGGGAGCGUUCUGUAAGCCGUUGAAGGUGGCCUGUGAGGGUUGCUGGAGGUAUCAGAAGUGCGAAUGCUGACAUAAGUAACGAUAAUGCGGGUGAAAAACCCGCACGCCGGAAGACCAAGGGUUCCUGUCCAACGUUAAUCGGGGCAGGGUGAGUCGACCCCUAAGGCGAGGCCGAAAGGCGUAGUCGAUGGGAAACAGGUUAAUAUUCCUGUACUCGGUGUUACUGCGAAGGGGGGACGGAGAAGGCUAUGUUGGCCGGGCGACGGUUGUCCCGGUUUAAGCAUGUAGGCGGAUGUUCCAGGUAAAUCCGGAACGUUAUCAACGCUGAGGUGUGAUGACGAGGCACUACGGUGCUGAAGUGACAAAUGCCCUGCUUCCAGGAAAAGCCUCUAAGCAUCAGGUAACAUCAAAUCGUACCCCAAACCGACACAGGUGGUCAGGUAGAGAAUACCAAGGCGCUUGAGAGAACUCGGGUGAAGGAACUAGGCAAAAUGGUGCCGUAACUUCGGGAGAAGGCACGCUGAUGGUAGGUGAAGCGACUUGCUCGUGGAGCUGAAAUCAGUCGAAGAUACCAGCUGGCUGCAACUGUUUAUUAAAAACACAGCACUGUGCAAACACGAAAGUGGACGUAUACGGUGUGACGCCUGCCCGGUGCCGGAAGGUUAAUUGAUGGGGUUAUCCUCACGGAGAAGCUCUUGAUCGAAGCCCCGGUAAACGGCGGCCGUAACUAUAACGGUCCUAAGGUAGCGAAAUUCCUUGUCGGGUAAGUUCCGACCUGCACGAAUGGCGUAAUGAUGGCCAGGCUGUCUCCACCCGAGACUCAGUGAAAUUGAACUCGCUGUGAAGAUGCAGUGUACCCGCGGCAAGACGGAAAGACCCCGUGAACCUUUACUAUAGCUUGACACUGAACACUGGUCCUUGAUGUGUAGGAUAGGUGGGAGGCUUUGAAGUGUGGACGCCAGUCUGCAUGGAGCCAUCCUUGAAAUACCACCCUUUAAUGGCUGGUGUUCUAACGUGGGCCCGUAAUCCGGGUUGCGGACAGUGUCUGGUGGGUAGUUUGACUGGGGCGGUCUCCUCCUAAAGAGUAACGGAGGAGCACGAAGGUCAGCUAAUCCUGGUCGGACAUCAGGAGGUUAGUGCAAUGGCAUAAGCUGGCUUGACUGCGAGCGUGACGGCGCGAGCAGGUGCGAAAGCAGGUCAUAGUGAUCCGGUGGUUCUGAAUGGAAGGGCCAUCGCUCAACGGAUAAAAGGUACUCCGGGGAUAACAGGCUGAUACCGCCCAAGAGUUCAUAUCGACGGCGGUGUUUGGCACCUCGAUGUCGGCUCAUCACAUCCUGGGGCUGAAGUAGGUCCCAAGGGUAUGGCUGUUCGCCAUUUAAAGUGGUACGCGAGCUGGGUUUAGAACGUCGUGAGACAGUUCGGUCCCUAUCUGCCGUGGGCGCUGGAGAAUUGAGGGGGGCUGCUCCUAGUACGAGAGGACCGGAGUGGACGCAUCACUGGUGUUCGGGUUGUCAUGCCAAUGGCAUUGCCCGGUAGCUAAAUGCGGAAGAGAUAAGUGCUGAAAGCAUCUAAGCACGAAACUUGCCCCGAGAUGAGUUCU